This 898-nucleotide long non-coding RNA is filed under the name Homo sapiens (human). Its description in RNAcentral is "long intergenic non-protein coding RNA 910". Lineage: Eukaryota; Metazoa; Chordata; Mammalia; Primates; Hominidae. The record is from RNAcentral.
GGAAACCCCGGAACUAGAACUGAUCUCUUCAACUACCUGUGAAAACUGAUGUGAUGAAAAGGGGAAUUUGAAGGAGCCAUUCCAGAAGACAGGGCGAAAACUGAAGUGCAAUCAGGGCCAAGAAAAACAGAAAUAGCAGGACCUGGAGUUGCAUAGGUUGAAUAGUUGAAUAGGCUGCUCUCCUCAGCUGGCAGGAAACCUGGCAGCCUCCUGGUGCCCAAGGACUGAAAACCUUAGAAGCACCUGGAGUUGGCAGCCUUGGCAUGGUCAGGUUGGCACCUCUGGAGGUGCCCAGGCUUCCCUGGCAGCAUUGUGAGCAGUGGAUGGUGUUGAAGGGCAGCCAGAGGAGGAAUGGAACACAUGCUCCUUGCUAACCACACGGACAAGGCCACGUUCACAGGUACACAAAGGACGGGGGUGGAAGGCCACCUUCGAUGGGUGCAUCCUCCACGAUGACCUGCUAACAAAGGUGCAUGGAUUUCAGAGUCUGAUUGGCCUACAACAGCAUUUGGCUUGUGGAGACAGUGGUUCCCUGAUGAAAAACUGCCAUGAUGGGAAUAGAAACAAUCAGAGGAAACUUCCGUGAGUUCCCAGGACACAUCCACCCACCUCCUCCACGUGUAACCACCACCUCUACCUUCCCCUCUGGUGCUGUGGAUGAGCCAUCCGUGCUCCUGGCAAAGGCCCACCUGCCACUUGGGCACAGGAACCCAUCCAUCCCUCCUUACCUCUGGUAACUCUCCCUCUCUCUCUCCUGCAUCCUUCAUAUUCUCUGGGUUGUAUUCUCUUCCAGCCCCCACCCCCUGCCCACCUCCAGCAUGUAAAAGUGCUGUUAUUGUUUCCACUUUAAAACAAACCCUAAAAAUAAGUAAAUAAAAUAAACCCUACCCUGACCCCA